RNAcentral lists this ribosomal RNA (550 nucleotides) under uncultured bacterium. Its description in RNAcentral is "bacterial SSU rRNA". It matches the Rfam family "Bacterial small subunit ribosomal RNA", at positions 355 to 896 of the family's 1533-position model. The record is from RNAcentral.
UAGGGAAUCUUCCGCAAUGGACGCAAGUCUGACGGAGCAACGCCGCGUGAGUGAAGAAGGUUUUCGGAUCGUAAAACUCUGUUGUUAGAGAAGAACAAGUGCUAGAGUAACUGUUAGCGCCUUGACGGUAUCUAACCAGAAAGCCACGGCUAACUACGUGCCAGCAGCCGCGGUAAUACGUAGGUGGCAAGCGUUGUCCGGAUUUAUUGGGCGUAAAGCGAGCGCAGGCGGUUCCUUAAGUCUGAUGUGAAAGCCCCCGGCUCAACCGGGGAGGGUCAUUGGAAACUGGGGAACUUGAGUGCAGAAGAGGAGAGUGGAAUUCCAUGUGUAGCGGUGAAAUGCGUAGAUAUAUGGAGGAACACCAGUGGCGAAGGCGACUCUCUGGUCUGUAACUGACGCUGAGGCUCGAAAGCGUGGGUAGCAAACAGGAUUAGAUACCCUGGUAGUCCACGCCGUAAACGAUGAGUGCUAAGUGUUGGAGGGUUUCCGCCCUUCAGUGCUGUAGUUAACGCAUUAAGCACUCCGCCUGGGGAGUACGACCGCAAGGUUG